GACACGGUGGCAUAGUGGUUAGCACUGUCGCCUCGCAGCAAGAAGGUCGUGGGUUCGAAUCUCGUCUCUGGCC
RNAcentral lists this transfer RNA (73 nucleotides) under Anguilla anguilla (European eel). RNAcentral's name for it is "tRNA-OTHER". Lineage: Eukaryota; Metazoa; Chordata; Actinopteri; Anguilliformes; Anguillidae. The record is from RNAcentral.